GUUCUGACAGAGAGUCUUUCCAGAAACACAUUAAAUACAUCUGGAUGACCCAUGGAAGACCACUGGAUCCACAUGGAUUGCCUCAUUGAGUGGCUGUUUGGAGUUGCUGUUUGGCGGAGACUAUCUGACACUGAAUUAAAGGUACAUAUCAUAACGGAGUCUUGGGAGAUUCAUCAUGGGUAAUUUCACAAAGGAAUCACGAGAAUGAAAAUAUGUGGUAGAGUCCAGCAUUCCACCGUCUUUAAACUUCAUCAGCCACCACUGCUUCCAUGCUUCUCAGUUUUGGGAACUGUUGGACUGACAAUGUU
This is a long non-coding RNA of Pelobates fuscus (common spadefoot toad), 308 nucleotides long. RefSeq lists it as uncharacterized. Lineage: Eukaryota; Metazoa; Chordata; Amphibia; Anura; Pelobatidae. The record is from RefSeq and is a predicted model, not a curated record. The transcript is spliced from 4 exons.